GACGAACGCUGGCGGCGUGCCUAACACAUGCAAGUCGAACGGAAAGGCCCUGCUUUUUUGGGGUGCUCGAGUGGCGAACGGGUGAGUAACACGUGAGUAACCUUCCCUUUACUUUGGGAUAUCUUCAGGCAACUGGGUCUAAUACCUGCUAGGAGCUCCUGCUUCUUGGUGGGGGUUGGAAAGUUUCGGCGGUUGGGGAUGUACUCGCGUCUUAUUAGCUUGUUGGUGGGGUAGUGGCUUAGCAAGGCCUUGACGGGUAGCCGGCCUGGGAGGGUGAACGGAGACAUUGAGACUGAGAGACGGCCCAGACUCGUACGGGAGGCAGAAGUGGAGAAUAUUACACAAUGGGCGGGAGCCUGAUGAAACAACGCCGCGUGCGGGAAGACGGCCUUCGGGUUGUAAACCGCUGUAGCCUGAGACGAAGCGUGAGUGACGGUAAUGGGAGAAGAAGCACCGGCUAACUACGUG
Molecule: ribosomal RNA, 468 nt
Filed under: uncultured bacterium
Lineage: Bacteria
Description: partial 16S ribosomal RNA
Rfam family: Bacterial small subunit ribosomal RNA
Source: RNAcentral